UACGGGGGGGGCAAGCGUUGUUCGGAAUUACUGGGCGUAAAGGGCGCGUAGGCGGUUGGAUAAGUCAGCUGUGAAAACCACGAGCUCAACUUGUGGCCUGCAGUUGAAACUGUCUGGCUAGAGUGUGGGAGAGGGAAGUGGAAUUCCUGGUGUAGCGGUGAAAUGCGUAGAUAUCAGGAGGAACACCGGUGGCGAAGGCGGCUUCCUGGACCACAACUGACGCUGAGGCGCGAAGGCGUGGGGAGCGAACGGG
RNAcentral lists this ribosomal RNA (253 nucleotides) under uncultured bacterium. Its description in RNAcentral is "partial 16S ribosomal RNA". It matches the Rfam family "Bacterial small subunit ribosomal RNA", at positions 524 to 776 of the family's 1533-position model. The record is from RNAcentral.